Molecule: ribosomal RNA, 508 nt
Filed under: uncultured bacterium
Lineage: Bacteria
Description: partial 16S ribosomal RNA
Source: RNAcentral
GGAGUUAGCCGGUGCUUCUUCUGUGAGUGAUGUCCUUCCUGCCGGCUAUUAACCCGCAGGCCUUCUUCCUCACUGAAAGUGCUUUACAACCCGAAGGCCUUCUUCACACACGCGGCAUGGCUGGAUCAGGGUUGCCCCCAUUGUCCAAUAUUCCCCACUGCUGCCUCCCGUAGGAGUCUGGGCCGUGUCUCAGUCCCAGUGUGGCUGAUCAUCCUCUCAGACCAGCUACGGAUCGUCGCCUUGGUGAGCCGUUACCUCACCAACCAGCUAAUCCGACAUAGGCUCAUCCGAUAGCGCGAGGCCCGAAGGUCCCCCGCUUUCCCCCGUAGGGCGUAUGCGGUAUUAGCCUGGGUUUCCCCAGGGUUAUCCCCCACUACCGGGCAGAUUCCUAUGCAUUACUCACCCGUCCGCCGCUCGCCACCAGGGAGCAAGCUCCCCGUGCUGCCGCUCGACUUGCAUGUGUUAGGCCUGCCGCCAGCGUUCAAUCUGAGCCAGGAUCAAACUCUGA